UUAUACACAACGGACUUCAACCAUUUCUUAAAAAAUCAAAAUUUUUUGUGCCUAAUACACUAAUAUAUA
RNAcentral lists this transfer RNA (69 nucleotides) under Longpotamon parvum. Its description in RNAcentral is "tRNA-Gln". Lineage: Eukaryota; Metazoa; Arthropoda; Malacostraca; Decapoda; Potamidae. The record is from RNAcentral.